CCUACGGGUGGCAGCAGUGGGGAAUAUUGCACAAUGGGCGAAACCCUGAUGCAGCGAUGCCGCGUGAGUGAAGAAGUAUUUCGGUAUGUAAAGCACUAUCAGCAGGGAAGAAAAUGACGGUACCUGACUAAGAAGCCCCUGCUAACUACGUGCCAGCAGCCGCGGUAAUACGUAGGGGGCAAGCGUUAUCCGGAUUUACUGGGUGUAAGGGGAGCGUAGACGGUGAUGCAAGUCAGAAGUGAAAGCCCGGGGCUCAACUCCGGGACUGCUUUUGAAACUGUGUGACUGGAGGGCAGGAGAGGGAAGCAGAAUUCCAGGUGUAGCGGUGAAAUGCGUAGAGAUGAGGAGGAACACCAGUGGCGAAGGCGGCUCACUGGACUAAAACUGACGUUGAGGCUCGAAAGCGUGGGGAGCAAACAGGAUUAGAUACCCUGGUAGUC
This 440-nucleotide ribosomal RNA is filed under the name uncultured bacterium. Its description in RNAcentral is "partial 16S ribosomal RNA". It matches the Rfam family "Bacterial small subunit ribosomal RNA", at positions 338 to 795 of the family's 1533-position model. The record is from RNAcentral.